RNAcentral lists this ribosomal RNA (253 nucleotides) under uncultured bacterium. RNAcentral describes it as "partial 16S ribosomal RNA". It matches the Rfam family "Bacterial small subunit ribosomal RNA", at positions 524 to 776 of the family's 1533-position model. The record is from RNAcentral.
UACGGAGGGGGCUAGCGUUGUUCGGAAUUACUGGGCGUAAAGCGCACGUAGGCGGCUUUGUAAGUUAGAGGUGAAAGCCCAGGGCUUAACCCUGGAAUUGCCUUUAAGACUGCAUCGCUAGAAUCGUGGAGAGGUGAGUGGAAUUCCGAGUGUAGAGGUGAAAUUCGUAGAUAUUCGGAAGAACACCAGUGGCGAAGGCGACUCGCUGGACACGUAUUGACGCUGAGGUGCGAAAGCGUGGGGAGCGAACAGG